AUGUCGCCCAAUCUGAGGCACCUUGACCUUGUGAAGUGCUAUAGGAUCACGAAAGAAGGAUUGGCCGAGGCGAUGCCAAGGUUUCCUCUGCUGGAGAAGAUCGUGCUUUGGGGUUACCGAAGAAGUGUCACAGGGGAUUUGUAUCAAGUCAUUGGUAAAACAUGCAAUCAACUCGAGUGCCUCGAGCUAUGCCAUGGGAGCAGGGAACAGACGCUUGGGAUUGCGGCACUGCAUGGGCUGCGAGACCUUGCCCUCAUACGCUGCAGCGUGAACGUCGAAGGGCUGGCAUUUAUCAUUGAUAGCUGCCCUCUCCUGGAGCGUCUUCACGUGAGGGGUUGCUCCGAGAUCGUGGGCGAGCCAGUCCUGAUGGCCAAGCGUGCCAGGAUCAAGGCAAUGUCGGUUCAAAUCUAUGCCCGCUAUAACUGGGACUAA
This 432-nucleotide ribosomal RNA is filed under the name Triticum aestivum (bread wheat). RNAcentral describes it as "partial small subunit ribosomal RNA". Lineage: Eukaryota; Viridiplantae; Streptophyta; Magnoliopsida; Poales; Poaceae. The record is from RNAcentral.